Long non-coding RNA from Dama dama (fallow deer), 2043 nucleotides. RefSeq lists it as uncharacterized. Lineage: Eukaryota; Metazoa; Chordata; Mammalia; Artiodactyla; Cervidae. The transcript is spliced from 3 exons. The record is from RefSeq and is a predicted model, not a curated record.
CCGCUUCCUCCCACCCCUACCCCCUCCACCGCGCCGAGACUCCAGUCUGUCCUAAGGAGCCUUCAGCCCCGCUCUGGGCCACCCUUAGCGCUCUCCGGAGCGCCUCGUCUCCCCUGGGGCUCCCGUGCCCCUCCUGGGUCUUGCCUUAUCCUUUCCCCGGGGACCCUCUAUAACCCUUCAGGGUCUCCCUUGAUCUUUCCCUCUGGGGCCACUCAUCUGCCUGCCAAAACCCUCUCCCCAGGAGUGCUCUCCCUUCCUCCCCCUUCCCUCUCUUCUCCUCCCUCUCCCUAGGGACUCCCAUUUCCCACUGGAGCUCUGCACCCCAACAGGGCUGCCCCGAUCCCUCCAUAGAGCCCUCACUCCCCACUGGAAGCUUUAUUCUUCCUUGGUUCCCGUGAUUGGUCCUCAUUCUCUUCCUGAGAACCCCCAUCCUUUCUCCAAGGAUACUGUCCUCCCAAGAAUGCUAUGGACUCCCCAACUCAAAACACAGCCCCUCACAAACACGCAUCCCCCAGGCUCCCCAGACCUGCUUUAUCCCGUAAUCCAGAGGAAGCCAAGUUUGCGGGUCCUCCUGUGCCUGGGGGCACAUUCUCAUAGGAAUUUCCUGGUGGGCCAGUGGUUGAGGAGGCUUCCCAGAUGGUGUUAGUGGUAAAGAACUCAUCUGCCAAUGCAGGAGAGUAGUCAUAUAUGGAUGUGAGAGUUGGACCAUAAAGAAGGUUGAUCACUGAAGAACUGAUGCUUUUGAACUGCAGUGUUAGAAAAGACUUUUGAGAGUCCCUUGGACUGCCGGGGAGAUCAAACCAGUCAAUUCUAAUGGGAAUCAACCCUGAAUAUUCAUUGGGAAGACUGAUGCUGAAGCUGAAGCUCCAAUACUUUGGCCACCUGAUGAGAAGAGCUGACUCUUUGGGAAAGACCCUGAUGCUGGGAAAGAUUGAGGGCAGGAGGAGAAGGGGACGACAGAGGAUGAGAUGGUUGGAUGGCAUCACCGACUCAAUGGACAUGGGUUUGAGCAAGCUCUGGGAGAUGGGGAAGGGCAGGGAAGCCUGGUGUGCUGCAGUCCAUGGGAUCACAAAGAGUCAGACAUGACUGACUGAACUGAACUGAGGUAAAAAGCAAUUUGUUUUCAUUAUUUUAUCUUGUAUCCAGUCAACUCUCCUAAUUGUAUUGUGUUUAUAUAUACACACUAUAUAUGUAUAUAUAUAAAUACAUACAUAUCUACUUGGUUUACGUCUUUGUUUUUGGCUGCCCUGGGUCUUCGUUGCUGCAAGUGGCCUCUCGCUCAUUUGCAGUGAGGGAGGGGAGGAGGGCGGGCCUCGAACUGCGUGGCUUCUCUUGUUGUGGAGUAAGGGAUCUAGGCACGUGGUCCUCGGUGGUUGCAGCUCGUGGGCUCUCAAGCACAGGCUCCGCAGUUGCGGUGCAUGGGCUUGGUUGCUCCAAGUGCAUGCGGGCUCUUCCCUGACCAGGGAUCAAACUUGUGUCUCCUGCAUUGGCAGGCAAUUCUUAAGCACUAGAUCACCAGGCCCCAGUGUUGUCUUUUUACUAGUUUUUUUUUUUACUCGUCUUGAAGUUUUUGAUAAUACAAUCAUAUCAGCAAAAACGAUAGACAGCUUUAUAAUUUUUCAGAUAAUCACACUAAUCCAUUCUCUUGUUUUACUGCAUUUGGUAAAACUUCCAAGAUAUGAUAAACAAGGGUAAUAGCAGGCAUUUCUGUCUAAAUUUUUAUUUCAAAAUUGUGAUUUUAGUGUUUCACUAUUAAGGACAAUAUUUGCUGUUAGGGUUUCCUAGCAGCAAAUACUUUUUACUUAGAGUUUUUACUGGGGAUGGUAUUAAGUUAUACUGGCUCUGUUUAUUAAAUAUGGGAGACUUUCUUCUUUUUUUCCAUAAUCUUGACUAUGGAAAUAGCAUGGGAAUUACUCUUAUUGAUGGUUAGAUAAUACUCAGUUGUGGCACCAAUUAAAUGCAGUCUUUUUCAAAGGUAGAUCCCUAAUCACCUUUCUAUUCUACUUUUUUCUAAGAUUAGUUGAGCUUUUCAAACUUUUCUCU